CCUAUUGAAUCUCACAACAUAUGUUUGGAUAGCACUUCCCAGCCUACAACGCACUUUCUCAGGGAUUCUCAAACUUCCUCCCACCUCACAUCCUUUUAAGGCAAGUGAGUGUGGGAACUCUGGUUCAGGGAAGUUAAAUCACUUGCCUAAGGUCAUGCAGAUCAUUAAUGCCAUAGCCAAGACCUGAGCACGUUCUCCUAAAGCCAGGUCAGGCCUCUUGUCACAUACUCCAUUGACUCUAGUGCCUAACCCAUGCUCAUCACAGAGCUCACAUUGGAACCAUUGUUAAACAGACUCUAAUGGAAAUGACUUCGUUCAGCUGGUGAACAUUUUGGAAGAUUCCAGAAAAACAUGAACAAGUGUUUGAGUGCUCUUAAGGGGAUUGUCUAAUAUCUUGGCUCCUGACUCAUCCUUAGAAGUCUUCCAGCCACCUUGUACCCAUUUCAAGCCCAAGGGCUCUUUAACGUAAAUGAGUUACUGAGCAGAGUGUUGCUGGAGAUGGCCACUGGAGAGGCUGAGUCAAAUCAAUCUCCUCACCUGAGGACUUCCUAAGACCAGCGCACUGAAGGACCAGCAGCAACAACAACAAUAAUGCUAAUGCUCCCUUAUGGACAAGACUGCAAUUCUCUGCCUGCUGAAGCUCAGCUAUGACCACGUGACUUGCCUUGGCCAAUGAAAGAGGAAGAGUAUGUAACACUGCUGAAUGGAAGCAAGUGGCCCCUGCCCCUGCUGCAGAGAUUCUAGACAUGUGUGCCAUGCUGGAGCAAGGAGACAGGGAGUCCUGGAGAAAGGAGACAUGGAACAGAGCUCCCAGCCCAGUCAAUAUGUAACAUGAGUGAGAAAUAAAUAACACUUUGUUGCUAGAA
RNAcentral lists this long non-coding RNA (866 nucleotides) under Homo sapiens (human). RNAcentral describes it as "HSALNT0386101". The record is from RNAcentral. Lineage: Eukaryota; Metazoa; Chordata; Mammalia; Primates; Hominidae.